This is an RNA transcript of Talpa occidentalis (Iberian mole), 939 nucleotides long. It is a transcript of the gene named transmembrane protein 238, with no coding region annotated. The transcript is spliced from 2 exons. NCBI's taxonomy places the organism in Eukaryota, Metazoa, Chordata, Mammalia, Eulipotyphla, Talpidae. The record is from RefSeq and is a predicted model, not a curated record.
GGGCGGUGUCUGGACGGACGCGUGGUCUGGGGGCUGACGGGAUGAGAGGACGGGCUGGCUGUUGGGAGCAUGAACAGGCGCCGUGGAGGGGCGUGAGACAGGCUCCGCAUCUCACGUGGGGUUCCCCUUAAACUCAGCUGUCCGGAGACACUGGUCUCCGUGACGAAGGGGCUUUCCUGCCACGUGGCGGGACCACCACCAGCUACCACUGCCCCCCGUCAGGGUGAGCGCGUGGGUGCCCCGCUCUGUGCUCGGGAGAGCAGCCGCAGCCGGGCGCGUGGGCAGGCCACGCAGAAGUGACCGCCUACAGUGACAGUCCCCCGGGACGCCCUCACGUGUCGCCGAAACCUGCCUCGGCUAGGCCUCCCCGGCGUGGGGCUCGCCCGUGAUGGGGAGGGACACACCAGGAGGACAGAGGACUUGACCUUUAACACAAGGACCCGUGGUCCCGGCUCUGGCUCCCCUCUCCGUCGGUGACCACGGCUGCCCGAUGGACGACUUGGGGACGUGCGGGGCGGACAGCUGAGCGGGUGGGCUGGCGGCAGCGCCAGGCAGAGCACGCCCGUCCUGUGCUGGGGCUUUCCUCACCGGCUCCUCACUCCGCGUGUCUGUCUCAGGGUCCCUGUGCCCCCAGUCGCUCUUUCUGCGCCUCUCCCCCCUCUUGCACCCCUGAUUCCAGCGAGGGCAAGCCCCCUGUGCAGCCCUGCCAAUGGGGAGAUGGAGGUCAAGGGAACGCGUGUGCAAGCGGACGGACCCAAAGCCCCAUCUGUCAGGACCGGACCCAGAUGUGCAGCUGCCGCAACCUCACCUGGCCGUACCUGGUCUCACCUGGCCACACCUCCCUCCUCCCCCCAUAAAUGGCUCUGCUCACAACCCCUCCACUCGUGUUGUGUCUGUCUGCAGAGGGCUGGUGCUGGGCAGCGGGGGUGGGGUGCCGGG